Molecule: ribosomal RNA, 290 nt
Filed under: uncultured Pelotomaculum sp.
Lineage: Bacteria; Bacillati; Bacillota; Clostridia; Eubacteriales; Desulfotomaculaceae
Description: partial 16S ribosomal RNA
Rfam family: Bacterial small subunit ribosomal RNA
Source: RNAcentral
GAGCGCAACCCCUACGUUUAGUUGCUAACGCGUGAAGGCGAGCACUCUAGACGAACUGCCGUUGACAAACGGAGGAAGGUGGGGAAUGACGUCAAAUCAUCAUGCCCCUUAUGUUCUGGGCUACACACGUGCUACAAUGGGCGGUACAAAGGGUCGCGAACCCGCGAGGGGGAGCCAAGUCCCAAAAAGCCGCUCUCAGUUCGGAUUGCAGGCUGAAACCCGCCUGCAUGAAGUUGGAGUUGCUAGUAAUCGCAGGUCAGCAUACUGCGGUGAAUACGUUCUCGGGCCUU